Molecule: ribosomal RNA, 450 nt
Filed under: uncultured bacterium
Lineage: Bacteria
Description: partial 16S ribosomal RNA
Rfam family: Bacterial small subunit ribosomal RNA
Source: RNAcentral
GUGGGGAAUCUUCCACAAUGGACGAAAGUCUGAUGGAGCAACGCCGCGUGAGUGAAGAAGGGUUUCGGCUCGUAAAGCUCUGUUGUCGGGGACGAAUGUGCAGUAUUUGAAUAAAGUAGUGUAAUGACGGUACCUGACGAGGAAGCCACGGCUAACUACGUGCCAGCAGCCGCGGUAAUACGUAGGUGGCAAGCGUUGUCCGGAAUUAUUGGGCGUAAAGGGAGCGCAGGCGGGAAGGUAAGUCGGUCUUAAAAGUGCGGGGCUCAACCCCGUGAUGGGAUCGAAACUAUCUUUCUUGAGUGCAGGAGAGGAAAGUGGAAUUCCUAGUGUAGCGGUGAAAUGCGUAGAUAUUAGGAGGAACACCAGUGGCGAAGGCGACUUUCUGGACUGUAACUGACGCUGAGGCUCGAAAGCCAGGGGAGCGAACGGGAUUAGAUACCCUGGUAGUCC